GAAUUGGAUUGAGAACAACGUACAACUCUUAUCGAUAAGCCAUUGGAGGGCAAGUCUGGUGCCAGCAGCCGCGGUAAUUCCAGCUCCAAUAGCGUAUAUUAACGUUGUUGCAGUUAAAAAGCUCGUAGUUGAAGUGAGGGAGUGUGUGUUCAUGAGAGCUAGUCUCGAGUGUUCACAACCUCCCCCCUCCAAUCGGUGUAGUGGGGUAUUCAGUUAUUUCACUACUCCUUUGGUCGUUUACUGUGAGAAAAUUAGAGUGUUCAAAGCGGGCGUUUGUUUGAAUAGAUUAGCAUGGAAUAAUGAUUGAAGGCUUUCGUGUUCGAUUUGAUUGGUUUGUUCAUGGAAGCAAGGUUAAAAGGAACAGUUGGGGGUAUUCAUAUUCACUAGUUAGAGGUGAAAUUCUCGGAUUUAUGGAAGAUGAACAAGUGCGAAAGCAA
RNAcentral lists this ribosomal RNA (437 nucleotides) under Blastocystis hominis. Its description in RNAcentral is "SSU rRNA". It matches the Rfam family "Eukaryotic small subunit ribosomal RNA", at positions 506 to 954 of the family's 1831-position model. Lineage: Eukaryota; Bigyra; Opalinata; Blastocystidae. The record is from RNAcentral.